Molecule: ribosomal RNA, 605 nt
Filed under: uncultured bacterium
Lineage: Bacteria
Description: bacterial SSU rRNA
Rfam family: Bacterial small subunit ribosomal RNA
Source: RNAcentral
CCAGACUCCUACGGGAGGCAGCAGUGGGGAAUUUUGGACAAUGGGCGAAAGCCUGAUCCAGCAAUGCCGCGUGUGUGAAGAAGGCCUUCGGGUUGUAAAGCACUUUUGUCCGGAAAGAAAUGGCUCUGGUUAAUACCUGGGGUCGAUGACGGUACCGGAAGAAUAAGGACCGGCUAACUACGUGCCAGCAGCCGCGGUAAUACGUAGGGUCCAAGCGUUAAUCGGAAUUACUGGGCGUAAAGCGUGCGCAGGCGGUUGUGCAAGACCGAUGUGAAAUCCCCGAGCUUAACUUGGGAAUUGCAUUGGUGACUGCACGGCUAGAGUGUGUCAGAGGGGGGUAGAAUUCCACGUGUAGCAGUGAAAUGCGUAGAGAUGUGGAGGAAUACCGAUGGCGAAGGCAGCCCCCUGGGAUAACACUGACGCUCAUGCACGAAAGCGUGGGGAGCAAACAGGGUUAGAUACCCUGGUAGUCCACGCCCUAAACGAUGUCAACUAGUUGUUGGGGAUUCAUUUCCUUAGUAACGUAGCUAACGCGUGAAGUUGACCGCCUGGGGAGUACGGUCGCAAGAUUAAAACUCAAAGGAAUUGACGGGGGCCCGCACAAG